AGUGAACGCUGGCGGCAGGCCUAACACAUGCAAGUCGAACGGCAGCACAGUAAGCGCUUGCCUUUACGGGUGGCGAGUGGCGGAUGGGUGAGGCAUACAUCGGAAUCUACUAUUUCGUGGGGGAUAACGUAGGGCCACUUACGCUAAUACCGCAUACGACCUACGGGUGAAAGCAGGGGUUCUUCGGACCUUGCGUGAUUGAAUGAGCCGAUGUCGGAUUAGCUAGUUGGCGGGGUAAAGGCCCACCAAGGCAACGAUGCGUAGCCGAUCUGAGAGGAUGAUCGGCCACACUGGAACUGAGACACGGUCCAGACUCCUACGGGAGGCAGCAGUAGGGAAUAUUGGACAAUGGGCGCAAGCCUGACGGAGCCAUACCGCGUGAGUGAUGAAGGUCUUCGGGUCGUAAAGCUCUUUUGUUGGGAAAGAAAAGCUGUAUGUGUAAACCCGGCCGUUUUGACGGUACCCAAAGAGAAAGCACCGGCUAACUUCGUG
This 492-nucleotide ribosomal RNA is filed under the name uncultured bacterium. RNAcentral's name for it is "partial 16S ribosomal RNA". It matches the Rfam family "Bacterial small subunit ribosomal RNA", at positions 29 to 507 of the family's 1533-position model. The record is from RNAcentral.